UACAGAGGGGGCGAGCGUUGUUCGGAAUUACUGGGCGUAAAGGGCGCGUAGGCGGCCUCUUAAGUCGAACGUGAAAUCCCCGGGCUCAACCCGGGAACUGCGUCCGAUACUGGGGGGCUUGAAUCCGGGAGAGGGAUGUGGAAUUCCAGGUGUAGCGGUGAAAUGCGUAGAUAUCUGGAGGAACACCGGUGGCGAAGGCGGCAUCCUGGACCGGUAUUGACGCUGAGGCGCGAAAGCUAGGGGAGCAAACGGG
RNAcentral lists this ribosomal RNA (253 nucleotides) under uncultured bacterium. RNAcentral's name for it is "partial 16S ribosomal RNA". It matches the Rfam family "Bacterial small subunit ribosomal RNA", at positions 524 to 776 of the family's 1533-position model. The record is from RNAcentral.